UAUGGUCAUUAUCACGUGGGACUUCCCGAUCCGGUCCCAGUCGUUGGUGGUGCAGUGGUGGAGCAGACUCGUGUUGGGAAGCUCCAACUCGCCGUUUUUACGCAUUGUGAUGCAUUUAUGUCUGAAUAUGGAGUUUACUACAGACGAGCCGCCGUGAGGAGGCAGCUUUGGCGGAUAUGGAAUGAUGAUCAUCUUCCUGUCAACAAAGGCUUCACUAUCGCAGUAAAAGGUUCGUGGCUCGUCUGUCCCACUUGAGAUCGACUGCCUCUGGGAGAAUGGACGUGUGGUGAAAAGGUAUUAAUGGUUGCAAUGCAAGUCUGUAUGACAAGACAUGGAGAUGAAGUGAAGAGAUGAAAUCCAUGAAGUGGACUUGCCACCAGCUUGGGACUGAUCCAGACAUCUGACAGCACAAGAUAAUAAAUGCAGUAGAUUUGUUUUUAUGCAAAGUAAAAACCAUGUUUGCUCUAAAACAUACAGACAAUAAAAUUAAGAAAUGUAUAAAAUUCAAGUAUUGGGCACAUGAAAAGUAACAUGGAUUCUGCUUGGAGCACCCGGCAUGUGUUGGUCAUUCUGUGUUGAAAGAUGAUCUGUAAGAUUUCUUCUUCAAAUUGUCCAAGAAGAUCUGUUCUUCUUGCAGGUAUUCACGGUCCUGCAGGAAAAUAAAUGUAUUAGGAACAGAAACGUGGGCAUAUACUGAUGAACCUGUCAUUGUAACUGAACUUUAAAGCUGUUAAAUGUGAAGGGCCUGCGACAUGUUGGCCCAUUUGAAUUUCAUGUUGACAUUAAACGCUUCUCUACAGUAAAA
Scatophagus argus is the source of this 805-nucleotide long non-coding RNA. RefSeq lists it as uncharacterized. NCBI's taxonomy places the organism in Eukaryota, Metazoa, Chordata, Actinopteri, Scatophagidae. The record is from RefSeq and is a predicted model, not a curated record. The transcript has 5 exons.